UACGGAGGGUGCAAGCGUUGCUCGGAAUUAUUGGGCGUAAAGGGUAGGUAGGUGGUCUCAUUUGUCUGGGGUGAAAGCCUUGAGCUUAACUCAAGAAGUGCCCCAGAAACGGUGAGACUAGAGUCUUGGAGAGGGUCGUGGAAUUCCCGGUGUAGCGGUGAAAUGCGUAGAGAUCGGGAGGAACACCAGAGGCGAAAGCGGCGACCUGGACAAGCACUGACACUCAACUACGAAAGCGUGGGGAGCAAACAGG
This 253-nucleotide ribosomal RNA is filed under the name uncultured bacterium. RNAcentral's name for it is "partial 16S ribosomal RNA". It matches the Rfam family "Bacterial small subunit ribosomal RNA", at positions 524 to 776 of the family's 1533-position model. The record is from RNAcentral.